GUCUUGCAUUGGAUUGAGAACAACGUACAACUCUUAUCGAUAAGCCAUUGGAGGGCAAGUCUGGUGCCAGCAGCCGCGGUAAUUCCAGCUCCAAUAGCGUAUAUUAACGUUGUUGCAGUUAAAAAGCUCGUAGUUGAAGUGAGGGAGUGUGUGUUCAUGAGAGCUAGUCUCGAGUGUUCACAACCUCCCCCCUCCAAUCGGUGUAGUGGGGUAUUCAGUUAUUCUACUACUCCUUUGGUCGUUUACUGUGAGAAAAUUAGAGUGUUCAAAGCGGGCGUUUGUUUGAAUAGAUUAGCAUGGAAUAAUGAUUGAAGGCUUUCGUGUUCGAUUUGAUUGGUUUGUUCAUGGAAGCAAGGUUAAAAGGAACAGUUGGGGGUAUUCAUAUUCACUAGUUAGAGGUGAAAUUCUCGGAUUUAUGGAAGAUGAACA
RNAcentral lists this ribosomal RNA (429 nucleotides) under Blastocystis sp. RNAcentral describes it as "SSU rRNA". It matches the Rfam family "Eukaryotic small subunit ribosomal RNA", at positions 501 to 941 of the family's 1831-position model. The record is from RNAcentral. Lineage: Eukaryota; Bigyra; Opalinata; Blastocystidae.